GCCUCGUUGGCGCAGUAGGCAGCGCGUCAGUCUCAUAAUCUGAAGGUCGUGAGUUCGCAGCCUCACACGGGGCA
Hypomesus transpacificus is the source of this 74-nucleotide non-coding RNA. The record is from the annotation of a RefSeq genome assembly. Lineage: Eukaryota; Metazoa; Chordata; Actinopteri; Osmeriformes; Osmeridae.